GAUGAACGCUGGCGGCGUGCCUAAUACAUGCAAGUCGAGCGAACGGACGAGAAGCUUGCUUCUCUGAUGUUAGCGGCGGACGGGUGAGUAACACGUGGAUAACCUACCUAUAAGACUGGGAUAACUUCGAGAAACCGGAGCUAAUACCGGAUGAUAUUUUGAACCGCAUGGUUCAAAAGUGAAAGACGGUCUUGCUGUCACUUAUAGAUGGAUCCGCGCUGCAUUAGCUAGUUGGUAAGGUAACGGCUUACCAAGGCAACGAUGCAUAGCCGACCUGAGAGGGUGAUCGGCCACACUGGAACUGAGACACGGUCCAGACUCCUACGGGAGGCAGCAGUAGGGAAUCUUCCGCAAUGGGCGAAAGCCUGACGGAGCAACGCCGCGUGAGUGAUGAAGGUCUUCGGAUCGUAAAACUCUGUUAUUAGGGAAGAACAUAUGUGUAAGUAACUGUGCACAUCUUGACGGUACCUAAUCAGAAAGCCACGGCUAACUACGUG
Molecule: ribosomal RNA, 497 nt
Filed under: uncultured bacterium
Lineage: Bacteria
Description: partial 16S ribosomal RNA
Rfam family: Bacterial small subunit ribosomal RNA
Source: RNAcentral